GAUUCCCCUAGUAACUGCGAGGAAGCGGGAAAAGCUCAAAUUUAAAAUCUGGCAGUCUUUGGCUGUCCGAGUUGUAAUCUAGAGAAGUGUUGCUCACGCUGGACCGUGUAUAAGUCUUCUGGAAUGAAGCAUCAUAGAGGGUGAGAAUCCCGUCUUUGACAUGGACUCCCAGUGUAUUGUGGCGUGCUCUCAAAGAGUCGAGUUGUUUGGGAAUGCAGCUCUAAAUGGGUGGUAACCUCCAUCUAAAGCUAAAUAUUGGCAAGAGACCGAUAGUGAACAAGUACCGUGAGGGAAAGAUGAAAAGAACUUUGGAAAGAGAGUUAAACAGUACGUGAAAUUGUUGAAAGGGAAACGCUUGAAGUCAGUCACAUUGGCCAGGGAUCAACCCAACUCUUUUGUUUGGGUGUACUUCCUGGUUUGAUGGGCCAAUGUCAGUUUUUGACUGCUAGAGAAGGGCAGAGGGAAUGUGGCACCUUUCCGGGGUGUGUUUUAUAGACUUUUGUCAUAUAUAGCAUUUGGGACUGAGGUAUGCAGCGCACCUACAGGCCGGGUUUUUGACCACGUUUUGCGCUUUGGAUAUUGGCAAUAAUGGCUUUAAUCGACCCGUCUUGAAACACGGACCAAGGAGUCUAACAUAUCUGCGAGUGUUUGGGUGGAAAACCCGAGCGCACAAUGAAAGUGAAAGUUGAGAUCCUUGUCGUGAGGAGCAUCGACGCCCGGACCUGAGCUUUUUAGCAAUGGAUCUGCGGUAGAGCAUGUAUGUUGGGACCCGAAAGAUGGUGAACUAUGCCUGAAUAGGGCGAAGCCAGAGGAAACUCUGGUGGAGGCUCGUAGCGAUUCUGACGUGCAAAUCGAUCGUCGAAUCUGGGUAUAGGGGC
Molecule: ribosomal RNA, 878 nt
Filed under: Amanita cf. recutita CSUC L Ovrebo 4809B
Lineage: Eukaryota; Fungi; Basidiomycota; Agaricomycetes; Agaricales; Amanitaceae
Description: eukaryotic LSU rRNA
Rfam family: Eukaryotic large subunit ribosomal RNA
Source: RNAcentral